This is a non-coding RNA of Methanomicrobiales archaeon 53_19, 85 nucleotides long. NCBI's taxonomy places the organism in Archaea, Methanobacteriati, Methanobacteriota, Methanomicrobia, Methanomicrobiales. The record is from Rfam.
GCGUGAGUAGCCAAGCCGGGUCAAAGGCGCUGGAUUUAGGGUCCAGUCCCGUAGGGGUUCGCAGGUUCGAAUCCUGCCUCACGCA